Molecule: long non-coding RNA, 3861 nt
Filed under: Podarcis lilfordi (Lilford's wall lizard)
Lineage: Eukaryota; Metazoa; Chordata; Lepidosauria; Squamata; Lacertidae
Source: RNAcentral
UACUCGAUGCAGCUUGUGACACACAGCUGAUUCCGGUGCCGUGUAAACCACAGGAGGUCGGGGCUGGCUUUUUGGUUUGUUCAUUAAUAUAAUUGCUUGCUUGUGUUAUCAGCAGUGAAGUGAUUUCGUUCGUGCUCAUUAGAUUCCAGAGUGGUUGCCAGUCUGUCUCUUCUCAUCUGCAGCUGAGAACUAUUUAUUUGAGGACGAUGUGCGCUUCUCUUCCAUGACUGUUUAAUGGCCAGGCAUUCAACCUCAGGCAGCUGAAGAGACUGCAAGUGACUCUCUGGGUUCUGCCACCUUCCAAAAGAGCUAGGAAGUCAGGGCACUCCUUGAACAGCUGGCUGUUCCUCCUGAGGCCUCUGAAGAGUAGCAGCAUGAGCCCAAGUUAAUUAACAUGGGAGGAGCAUGUAUAUUUUGUAUUGUUUUUUGUAAGUCCCUUUAAAAGCUUAUUUAGCAGAAAGGUGUCUAAUACUGUAACUGGGGGGGCGGGGGCGGGGAAUAAACCAAACAAUGGGAUCACACAUGCACACUGAGGACCAUUCUCAUUCCUACUUCUUAUUUGUCUGUGUGUACAGUCAUCCCAAAUUUCCUUUCUAUAGGGCAUUAUGUGCCUGGAAAAUUGUGGCUAUGAUAUUUCAAAGGGGACAAAGAGUGCUAUGCAUGUGUGUUCUGAUAUAUAGGUAUAUUCUUGCUGCAAACAGUUUUAGACAGAACUGGCACUGAGUUGGCCUUUGAUAGAAGCUUUGUGUGCCUGUAAUAAAUAGGUAAAGGUAAAGGUACCCCUGCCCGUACGGGCCAGUCGUGUCCGACUCUAGGGUUGCAUGCUCAUCUCGCUCUAGAGGCCGUGAGCCGGCGCCGUCCGAAGACACUUCCGGGUCACGUGGCCAGCAUGACGAAGCUGCAGCUGGCGAGCCAGCACCAGCGCAGCACACGGAAACGCCGUUUACCUUCCCGCUAUAAAGCGGUACCUAUUUAUCUACUUGCACUUAAGAGUGCUUUCGAACUGCUAGGUGGGCAGGAGCUGGGACCGAACGACGGGAGCUCACCCCGCCAUGGGGAUUCGAACCGCCGACCAUACGAUCAGCAAGUCCUAGGCACUGAGGUUUUACCCACAGCGCCACCUGCGUCCCCCUGUAAUAAAUAUAUACGUAUAUAUACAACCUAUGACUUGGGCCAUUUUGUCAUGGUGCUGGCCCUGCUUUCAGCUCCAGCAGUAAUAGUUUCAUCGCCACACACACAAAAUAAACCUCAGCUCCAGCCAAUCAGCAUUUAUGCUUCCAAUAAAACCCAGCAUUCUGGAUCAAGAGCCAUCAAUACGAUGUCAUACAGCCACAGCCAGAUUAUAGCAUUAGCAGAGGAAAUGGGGCCUCGUGUAUUCCUUGAGAGGCUGCUAAAAUAGGAUGAGGUUUCUGUGGUGCCAUUUGCGUUCUGUCUCAAAACAGAUCGGCAGAGUUAUAGGCUUCAAAGGGGGCCAUGCUGAAGAAAGCAAAUAUCAGCCAUUGUGGGCUUUAGCAGGGGGAGGCCAUAAAUGUUAGGUGGCUGCUUUAAAUAGAGGGUAUCCUGCCUUGGGGCAGGAGUUGAACUGUCUGGCUUAUAGGCUUGGUUCAGAUGCUAUAAUGUUUUCCAUACUGAGUCUUCCAAACACCCAUCAGUGUGGUCAUUCUGAGUCAGACAUUGCUUCCUCCAUGCGACCACUUCCACUGGGAUGCUCAGCAGGGAUAACUUUGCAGGUUCCGAACUGGACCACAAACAUCCAUCCCAUGUGUCUGGCACAAAGUUGGGCUUUGGAACCUCCGCUUUUAUUUUUACUUCAAAAAAUAUAUUUCUAGUUCUUAGGGCAGCGGGUAGUUAGAAAAAGAGAAAAAGAUCAGAAGCCAGACAUUGUUUGAGCAGAUUGAUUCUUUUGGUACUUUUAUAUCCCUGCAUCCAUCUUGGUUGAUUUGUCCCCCUUUAUCCACUGCUUUUUUUAAAGUGCCCAGCUUGGAAAACCGAUUUAGACCGAGGUUUGGCAUGGAAUAGAACAUCAGAAAAUUGCCCUCGGUUAGAUCCUGUUGCAUUGCGCGGACAUGUCAGCUUGCUGGAAAUUGCAGCCAUUGUGAAUGAAACCAAAUCAAAAUGUUGCUUCUCCUGAGUUCUGCGGUGCCAGGGUCAAUUUUCCUUUUCCUUUGGAGAGAGUUUGCUAACUUGUGUUAAAAAAAUCAUCUAUGUUAUCUAGUUCCUAACCUGACUUCUUCACUAUAUGAAAGAUUGUGAGAUGAAGUCCUAGUUUGACAGGCUCCUCGCUGUCACGGACUAACACCCAAUUUCAUGACUUGCCAGUCACCCAUUAUUUCACUGCUACAGAGACUUCUGUCUCUAUGGAGGCAGAUUUAGCUUGGCAAAUCACCUUUUAUUAGAUCUUAAUGGCUAAUGUCCACUAGAAAAUGACAACCAUUGCUGGCUUUUCAUUAUUGUCGUACUCGCAGGCACAGGCUGUAAUCUGAGCAGGCAGACUGGUCCAAAUUAGGUUUCCUGUUAGAGAAGGGGCACACACAGGCCUGAAUUCACAUGGGAGCUAAAACUGAAUACAGAGACAUGAGCCUGAGAAAGUUAAAUCACACCAUUCUGUAUUUUAGGAGAAUGAGAGUACAGUCGUACCACAGAAAUCGAACGCCUUGUGAGUCAAACGUUUUGGCUCCCAAACACCGCAAACCCAGAAGUGAGUGUUCUGGUUUGCGAAUGUUCUUUGGAACCCGAAUGCCUGGCACGGGUUCCAUGGGUUUUGAUUGGCUGCAGGAGCUUCCUGCAGCCAAUCGGAAGCCGCACCUUGGCUUCCAAACUUUUUGAAAGUCGAACAGACUUCCAGAACAGAUUCCAUUCGACUUCUGAGGUACAACUGUAUUACCGUUUUUAGUUCUCAACUAAACAAUGUGCAUAGAUGCAGUUACCAAAAAUGUUUGAAAAUGUGUACACUCCACCAUCCCUGCCCAUGUUGGCUGGAACUUCUGGACAUUGUAGGCUGAAGGAUUUGGAAAAUAUCAAGGUGGGGGAAGGUUGUUUAGACCGUGUCCCAGGUAUUUUAGCUCUUCAAUGAUAAAUACCUGAACCUAUUCUACAAGCCCCAUUUCUGCUCUUCCUGAUACUUUACUGCAAAACUGAUCACUGUCCAGUUUGUUUAUAGUUCUGAAAAUAAAAUAAAAUAAAAUCAUAACAAGUCGUUGAUCAACUUAUCAUGAUCACUUUGAUCUGGAGGUGGUAAAAAAAAAUCAGAUAUGUAUGCAAUUUUGUUGCAUUUGAAAUUUAUUUAUUUAUUAAAUUUUUAUACUGCCCUUCAUCUGAGGAUCAUGGGGUUGCGUACAAUAUAAAAACACAUAAAUGCAUACCAUAGUAACAAACAAAACAACAACCCCCACUAUUGAAUCAAUAAUGCUUGAAUGGCUAUUAAAAAUUCUGCAAAACCUUUGGCCCAAGUGUGAAAUGUAUGUCACUUCAGGUGGGUGGGAGCUCACAUGCUUCCCCAUGCUCCUCCAUAUUGGGAGUGCUUGAGAAAAUACUUUUCUGUGAAUUCCAAGGCAAACUGGCAUGAUCGCCACCUCCUAAUCUGCAGACUGAAGCACAAUUAUCCUUUGGAUUUCCCAUUUGUCUGAAUUUCGCAAUAUAGUUCUCCAUUCAAAAAAAUACGCAGGCAUGUGUUUAACAUCCUAACACGCAUAUUUUAGGAUAAAUUAAGUUUGGAACUAAUACAUUGAGAUAGACAAGUAUUUAAAUAUUAUUUUCUGUUUGGAUUUUUUUAAAAUGCAGUUUAAUGCAGGAACAGAACUUACGAUGCAAAAUUUGCAUGGACUAGAAACUGCCAGACCCAACCAUCCCUGUCUCCAUACC